GUGAGUAACACGUGGGUAACCUGCCUGUAAGACUGGGAUAACUCCGGGAAACCGGGGCUAAUACCGGAUGCUUGUUUGAACCGCAUGGUUCAAACAUAAAAGGUGGCUUCGGCUACCACUUACAGAUGGACCCGCGGCGCAUUAGCUAGUUGGUGAGGUAAUGGCUCACCAAGGCGACGAUGCGUAGCCGACCUGAGAGGGUGAUCGGCCACACUGGGACUGAGACACGGCCCAGACUCCUACGGGAGGCAGCAGUAGGGAAUCUUCCGCAAUGGACGAAAGUCUGACGGAGCAACGCCGCGUGAGUGAUGAAGGUUUUCGGAUCGUAAAGCUCUGUUGUUAGGGAAGAACAAGUACCGUUCGAAUAGGGCGGUACCUUGACGGUACC
Molecule: ribosomal RNA, 388 nt
Filed under: Bacillus halotolerans
Lineage: Bacteria; Bacillati; Bacillota; Bacilli; Caryophanales; Bacillaceae
Description: bacterial SSU rRNA
Rfam family: Bacterial small subunit ribosomal RNA
Source: RNAcentral